CCCGUAGGAUGGGCGAAGCUGUCCAGCCAUGCCGCGUGUGGAAGAAGGCUUCGGUUGAAAGCACUUUAAGUUGGGAGGAAGGGCAGUAAGCUAAUACCUUGCUGUUUUGACGUUACCGACAGAAUAAGCACCGGCUAACUCUGUGCCAGCAGCCGCGGUAAU
RNAcentral lists this ribosomal RNA (162 nucleotides) under uncultured bacterium. RNAcentral describes it as "partial 16S ribosomal RNA". It matches the Rfam family "Bacterial small subunit ribosomal RNA", at positions 359 to 524 of the family's 1533-position model. The record is from RNAcentral.